UGCUUGAAGACAUCAAAUUGCAGUUGAAGUAACGGCAGAGGGAAAAGCAAGGGCAACAACAACAAACCACUUCACUCCUCUGGGUGGAAACAUGCAAUUGUACCAAGAGGGAUAAGGAAAAAACUGCUCAUGUUUGCAGAAAGAAGUUGGAAUAAGGGCGUGAAAGCAGGCGGGCUACUUUAGCAUCUGAUGCCAGGGAUAUGAGAGAGUAGCCCAGUGUGUUCAUUCAAAAA
Molecule: long non-coding RNA, 233 nt
Filed under: Homo sapiens (human)
Lineage: Eukaryota; Metazoa; Chordata; Mammalia; Primates; Hominidae
Description: HSALNT0047088
Source: RNAcentral